Herpailurus yagouaroundi (jaguarundi) is the source of this 905-nucleotide long non-coding RNA. RefSeq lists it as uncharacterized. NCBI's taxonomy places the organism in Eukaryota, Metazoa, Chordata, Mammalia, Carnivora, Felidae. The transcript has 2 exons. The record is from RefSeq and is a predicted model, not a curated record.
CUCAUGAACUACAAGAUCAUGACUUGAGCCGAAGUUGGACACUCAACUGACUGAGCCACCCAGGUGCCUCCUAAGUUGGUUGCUUUAGCUAAACUAUGAUAGUAUUGCCUCUUAGCCCCACAUUUGAUUCUCUGGCAAUCUGAGUUAAUAGAGUAUUUAUUAGUUUCCUAAAAGAAACUUUUAAAGUCUCUUCCAGUCUCUUCUCCCUACCAUAUAAAACUAUGAAUCAUGCCACCAGGAUGUAAUAUGUGACUUCUGAUCCUCGUGUAUGCUUUGACUUCUCUGUCCUCUUAUUUUUUAGGUGCUGCAGGAUGUAAAAAGAUGUUGAGAAGUUUAAGAAGGGGAAGUGGAAAGGGUAUUAUGGCUAUAUCGUAUCUCCUUCCAGUCAGUUCAGAAUUAUCUAUAUCUGUAUCUCUAUCUAUCUAUCUAUCUAUUUUUUUUUUUUUUCCUGGUUGGAUGUAGGCAUGUUUCUCCAAGCAAGAGGGUCAGACUGAAUGAGAAAGAAACUUUUUUAUUCUCUAUGUGGGCCAUCCUUGUUUUCAGAGUGAUGCAUGGAUCAGUCAUUACUUGCUCUGCUCAUUUCAGUUUCAUUGGUUUAAUUGUUAAAGGAAAUUCCCCCCAAAUUUAGAUGGUAGUCAGUUUUAAAUGUUACUGUAUUUAAUCUAUUUCUUUGGUUCCUUAUAGGCAUUUUAGGAGAAGGGAGUGGCAGCCGGCCGAAUGCCACUUGGAACUAAAAUCUCCCAGACUAAGCUAGUCUUAAAGGAAAUUUAAAAGUACUUCUUCCAAUGAAGUCAUGAACCCCUCAAAGUCAUGAGGAUUGGAACAACUUCUUCUAAAUUCCUGUUCCUGUUGAUAUUUUGACUUCUUCCUAUCAACCAUGAAUGAUCUUAGGGACAUCUAGAGUG